UACGAAGGGUGCAAGCGUUACACGGAAUUACUGGGCGUAAAGCGUGCGUAGGCGGUUUGUUAAGUCUGCUGUGAAAGCCCUGGGCUCAACCUGGGAACUGCAGUGGAUACUGGCAAGCUAGAGUGUGUCAGAGGAUGGUGGAAUUCCCGGUGUAGCGGUGAAAUGCGUAGAGAUCGGGAGGAACACCAGUGGCGAAGGCGGCCAUCUGGGACAACACUGACGCUGAGGCACGAAAGCGUGGGGAGCAAACAGG
Molecule: ribosomal RNA, 253 nt
Filed under: uncultured Frateuria sp.
Lineage: Bacteria; Pseudomonadati; Pseudomonadota; Gammaproteobacteria; Lysobacterales; Rhodanobacteraceae
Description: partial 16S ribosomal RNA
Rfam family: Bacterial small subunit ribosomal RNA
Source: RNAcentral